This 460-nucleotide ribosomal RNA is filed under the name uncultured bacterium. Its description in RNAcentral is "partial 16S ribosomal RNA". It matches the Rfam family "Bacterial small subunit ribosomal RNA", at positions 338 to 795 of the family's 1533-position model. The record is from RNAcentral.
CCUACGGGUGGCAGCAGUGAGGAAUAUUGGUCAAUGGACGUACGUCUGAACCAGCCAUGUCGCGUGCAGGAAGACGGCUCUAUGAGUUGUAAACUGCUUUUGUACGAGGGUAAAGGCAGAUACGUGUAUCUGUCUGAAAGUAACGUACGAAUAAGGAUCGGCUAACUCCGUGCCAGCAGCCGCGGUAAUAAGGAGGAUUCAAGCGUUAUCCGGGUUUAUUGGGUUUAAAGGGUGCGUUAGCGGUAGGAUAAGUUAAGGGUGAAAACCCGAGGCUCAACUUCGGAAUUGCCGCUGAUACUGGUCGGCUAGAGAGUAGUGGCGGUAGGCGGAAUGUAUGGUGUAGCGGUGAAAUGCAUAGAGAUCAUGCAGAACACCGAUUGCGAAGGCAGCUUACCAAGCUACUUCUGACGUUGAAGCACGAAAGCGUGGGGAGCAAACAGGAUUAGAUACCCCGGUAGUC